UACGGUAUUCGACGAUAUUAAGUCAAUGAGCUUGGUGAAGUGAUACGAAACACAUCGUAAUGGCACUUGUAAUCCAGUAUAUACGGGGUGCAGCACACCCAACUGCACAAACCGCACGGAAGGCGGCAAAGCUUUUUAUGCGGUGCCGUGCGGACGGACAGACGUGCGCCGUCGGCUGAUAUGUGGUUAUGGGCCGAGACUGAACGGCACCCAAUAGGACCAGGAUAUGCGAGUUGCUUUGAAUUCUGCCCCCAAGGCUCCACGAACCAGCACUCUUACCCUGCUGCCAGCAGCCAUUGGUCAUCCAUUCUCUUGUACGAAAUAAAUUUGAUGUAGAAGCUUCUG
Dermacentor silvarum is the source of this 345-nucleotide long non-coding RNA. RefSeq lists it as uncharacterized. Lineage: Eukaryota; Metazoa; Arthropoda; Arachnida; Ixodida; Ixodidae. The record is from RefSeq and is a predicted model, not a curated record. The transcript is spliced from 2 exons.